Long non-coding RNA from Cryptomeria japonica (Japanese cedar), 1640 nucleotides. RefSeq lists it as uncharacterized. The record is from RefSeq and is a predicted model, not a curated record. Lineage: Eukaryota; Viridiplantae; Streptophyta; Pinopsida; Cupressales; Cupressaceae. The transcript has 5 exons.
AGUACAGUGCUUGCAUAUUAUUGGCAAGUCAAAUUAUCAUUCUCCUUGAGAAAAUAAACAUUCAUAGUGUCAGUCAGUCUGUAAGAAAGACUCCAUUGGUGGGUUGGUGGAGAAUACUUUUUAUAUUGAAAUGUGCACCACUGAGUUUGGUUUCUCAAUACAGAAAUGGUAUAUGAUGCAGGCAACUAAACUAUGGGCUAUACUUUUUAUUAGUUCCUGCCUGCAGGAAACUAUAGCGGAGGCUAUUUUCGCUAACCCCUUAUUAAUUUGAGCCUAAACAACCAAUCAUAUUUAUUUUUGUUGCAAAGAUUUUCAUGUUUCCUUGGUUUUACCCGGAAAAGAUGCAAAUUAUUUAGGCGAAUUUUUAUCCUGAAGUUUUUUGGCAUUGGCAUAUUGGGUACAUUGGCGGUUUGCAGUAGUUUGUAGGGCUUUGUGUGGUUCUCAACAAGAGAGAACGCACACCUCCAGAGGCUGCAGGGCCGUCACUCCAGAGGCUGCAGCAGAGUAGUGACGGUUGCUUCAAACAGAUGGCGAGCCAGAAAAGACCUGCAGACCGAGCGCAAGAAACAAAGCAUGCAAACAUAUGGCUUGUAAGUUUUCAUUUUGGGCAUGCAAAACUACUAUGCGCGGGCAGGUUCUGACUAAGAAAAGGAAUACAUUGUUCUGGGCAAUCUCGAAGAAGAUUAAAGAGGACCACAGAUAUUUUAGCUCACAGUGCCAAAAAACCACUCGGAUGUCUAUGCCACUCUACAACAACUUCUUCCUACAACAACAUCGCCCCUCUUAUAUUCAAGAACAUUGUACGCAAUGGUGCCCGCGGAACACACCUGUUAAAGUCAACGCUGUCAACUUUUGUUGAUGAGCUCAACGAUGACUACAGCAAAAUCUGGCUUCAUCCAACAUUCGGGUCACUGGAACCCUCAAGACUAAAAACGCCCACCUUCCCCCCUACCAGCCCCUCUGUUCCAUCUGCCACCACAUUGUUCAUUCACUUCCCACUGCCACUGACAACUCAACCCAAUGUCUCACUUGCGCCACUUCAACCCCAUUCACCUACGAACCUUACUUGCAAUGCACAAUAGAAACUGCAACUAGUACCAUUGAUUGUAACUUACACACCACACUCUUGCAAGAAAACUUUCCUCAGCUUGCCAAAAUCCCAUUUGAAAAUUACAAGAAAGACAUGUCAACAGUUGUUUUUCUUAUGCGCAAAUUCCAAAUGGAUGCAACAUUCACAAUUGCAAUGAACAAUUCUAUUAUUCACAUUGCUAAGGACGACAAUGAAGGUCUGUGAGACCAGAUUGCCAUAUGAAAGAACAUUUUGCCCAGCCAAAUGCUUUUUUGUCAAGGUCAGAGAAGCUCAGGACAACCAGAAAAGUCUACAAAGAAACUGAAUCAGAAUACCACUAUACUAGUUUUGUACGCUAACGAAAACAAUCACAAAACCUGCAGAAAAGCUCAGGACAACCAGAAAAGCCUACAAAGAAAUUGACUCUGAAUACCACUAUACUAGUUUUGUACACAGUCAAUUAACAAACAAUGUUAACGACAAAAACUUUCAAUUUAAAUACCAUGUAAUCAAUUAAAAAAUGCUCUUGAAACAUAUGUCAAUAUAUAUACAUAUUUUCUCCUUUUGCUCC